This 7873-nucleotide long non-coding RNA is filed under the name Linum usitatissimum (flax). Its description in RNAcentral is "long non-coding RNA (LUSI_LNC004798)". Lineage: Eukaryota; Viridiplantae; Streptophyta; Magnoliopsida; Malpighiales; Linaceae. The record is from RNAcentral.
UCUGUGUUUAACAUUUAACAUCGGAUAUAAACUGAUCGCUGUAAAAUUUAACAACGGAUUUGAACACGUCGUCUUCAUCAACGUUUCCGUUUCGUAGGAUUCAUUGAAGGAACGAACCCCAUCUUCCGAUCAGACCCAUGAAAACUACAACCACCCCUUUUUUCUUCUGCCAACUACUCUCUAUCUUUUGAUCAAAUUCACUUCCCUAUGCUCAUCCAUUCAUCCUUCCAUCAACGACGACGGCCACCACAUCUAAAAACCCCUUCUGCCAGCCUUCGAAUUGAUAUAAAACUUUUCCUUCCCUUGUUUGUGCGCAACAAACCGGCCUAUUCGAUUCCAGUUCCCCCUUAUGGAUCACGAAUCCCAGAGGAGUAAUCAAGAACUUUCAAUUUUGAAUCAUUUGUUGUAGGAGAAGGCAAGAGAUCAAGGACCUGCCAUCGAACUUUAUCCUUUACUGACAGAAAGAAGAACUAAUUGGCUGAGUUCGAGACGGGCUUAGACAAAGUAACUCUCUGGUCGGAGUAUCCCCGACGAAUUCAAAGCAGCGGCUCCAUAGGGAUUCUUCUAGCGUCAAUCUGGUAAGUUACUCUUACACUCUGCUUAUCGGGUUAUUCGAUCCCCUUCUAAGUUACUGACAAUUGAUUGUCGGUGAUGUUAAUGAAAUAUUUGAGAAAUCAUUAUAUGCUCAGACAACUCAGGAUUGUACCCUUUAAACUAUCUGAGUUCUGAAGUUAUUUAAUUUUGCUUUGGUGGGUUUAUAUUUUUUCCCAGGUUUUAGAGUUAGUCAAGUGAUGAAUGAUCCUCAAGCACAAGAGGAGCAACUAACAAGGAAGGAGGUGGAAGUUGGUGGUGUGUAUACGAUAACCAAAUUGUGUGAUAAGAUGAGUUAUGUGUUAUUGAGUGGGAAGCAGAGAGCAAAGUUGAAGAAGGUAAGUUUUCAAAUAACUUUUUCUUAAUGAGAAUGGCUAGCGUUAGCUUCAUAGUUCAUACCACUGAAGAUGUUAAUGGGUUGUAACGGUCUCAUCUGCGAAAAACCUAUUCUCAUGUCAAUAGCCCACAAUUCUUUGAUGUCGAAUAUGCUCUCGCAAAUCUGACACAAGGGGAACUUAGUAUUAAUGAUUAUUACCUAGCUGUAACUCAUCUUUGGACAGAAAUCGACCUAAUUUAUGUUGUUCUUACCACGGGUGGUAUCUCUGACAUUCUUCAAGAAAGACAACGGAGCAGGAGUCUCCAAUUAUUGAUGCGCCAGCGACGACAUGGAUAUAGAUAAUAUUAUUGGUGAAUUGAUUUGUGUCGAGACUCGCUUCACAACCCAAGCUCAACUCGAUGGUCAAGCUCUUCCACUAUUGCCAAGAUCUGUUUUCACAGCGGGUCGGCCUCGCCCAUAGUUUUACUCUAAACGUUCUCAUCCAGCUUAAGGAAGUUCAACUAGUUACAAUUCGGUUUCGUCAGAAGUUUCGGCCAACUCUGUUAAAUGCCAUUUUCGUCAAGAAUUGGGACAUCCUCAAGCUGUGUCGUAAACAAAAUAUAUGUUCCUAUUGUAAGAAGUCUGGGCAUAAUAUUAUUCAGUGUUGUGCUCGUGGUCGUCGAAAUUUUGGACCAGGACGUGGAAAUCCUUCCUCUGCUGCUCAUGCAGUGAUUCCUGCUGCGCCAAUUUCAUCCUAAAGUAUAAAUCCAAAUUAUUUUUGAGUUGCGAGUUCAGAGACCUCGGCCAAUAUUGCUCAGCUCGUUUAAGUUGAAUCAGCUCGAGCUAUUCCUCAAGCUCUCAAUUUCUCCUUUGCUACUCUUGGUCUAUCAGUUACCGCUUCUCGUCCCUGGUUUCUUGAUUCAGCUACUUUCAAUCAUAUGUUUGGGGAUAUUUCACAAUUUUUCUCGUAUAAUUCUCUCAAACAUCAAUCAGUUGAAGUGGCCAAUGGCCAGCGACUUGCAAAUUAUUUUACCUUCUACACUUCAUGCACCGCACUUGGUUCUCAAUUUGGUUUUAGUUGGUCAAUUGACAGAAUCUGGCUGUGAUGUUUUCUUUGGUUCCUCUGAUUGUGUAAUUCAGGAUCGAGUGGCAGGAACGAAACUGGGCCUGGGGAAGAAACUCGGUCGUAAUUUUCAACUUCUUAAACUCGGUCAUCGCAACAAGGUUGGACAAGGCAGAGAUUUUAAUGGAGAUGUUGGUGUCUCACGUUCUAUUGCUUCUUAUUUUAGUGGAUUUUAUGUUUUAAUUUCUAAUUCUCCAAAUUAUUUUAGUUCUUUAGUUGCUCUUAGUCUGAACCAGUUAUGGAAUUUAUGGCACAAUCGUUUAGGUCAUCUUCAUUCUAAUCGUCUUUUGAGUAUUCGACAAUGAUAUUUGCCGGUAUAAAAUGAUAUGAAUAUUUUUUUGGUUCCUAUUUGUUUGCCUUUUAUUGAAGCAAAGGCGGUUGUCUUGCCUUUUCACUCUAGUACCACUGAGAUACAUGAACCCUUUGCUCUCAUUCACACUGAUGUUUAAGGAUCGAGUCCAGUCACCUCCCGUCUUGGUUAUCGUUACUUUGUUCUUUUAUUGAUCACAUGACUCGCUACACUUGAGUUUAUUUUCUUCAUUUCAAAUAUGAGCUCAUAUUAGUUCUCAAGCAGUUUGUCGUUUGUCGCCAUGAUUCAGAAACAGUUUGCCCGGCCUGUUAAGAUGUUCAAAUAUGAUCGGGGGGGGGGGGGGGGCAGUAUUUUCAAGAAAAUGGGAUUUUAUUUCAGUAAUCUUGUCUUGAUGUCUCUAAGCAAAAUGGGUUGGUAGAACGUAAGCAUCAACAUGUUCUUGAUCUAACAAGAGCUCUUUUACUUGAAUCUCGUGUGCCUUUUACUUUUUGGGUUGAAACCGUUCGAACGGUAGUCCAUCUAAUUAAUUUCCAGCCGACACCAGUUCUCUCGAAUGUGUCACCUUUCGAGAAACUCCAUCACAAGCCUCCGGAUUAUUCUCAUCUUCCAAUCUUUGGAUGCACAUGUUUCGUUCUUCUUCCUAAGAAAGAUCACAACAAUCUCUCUUCCAAGACGAUUCGUUGUGUUUUCAUUGGCUAUACGGAUCACCAUAAGGGAUACAUGUGUUAUAACCCUCUUCUUUGUCCCAUAUAUAUCGCCUAUCAUGGCCUCUUCCUUGAAAACAAUUUAUACUACCAUAACCUACCUACCCAAUUACCUCCCAUGCCACCUCACAUACCUCUCUUCCUAGAUGAUUCCUCAUCACCUUCUCACAACCACUCACCCCCCAAACAUACUCGAUCUUCUCAUCUUAUCUUCCAUACUCCUACUGUUGCUUCCUCACAACCACGCCAUUUAUCCACUCUCCCAUAAUUGAACCCACAUCACCUCCUCGCACUCCUCCAAGCCUCUUUCCUUCUCCCACUUCUUCUCCUACAUAUCCUACACCUCUUACCUCACAUUCAUCCACUGAUUCUCCUAUUCAUAAUACACUUCUCACCUCCCCCAUCAAUGACACUAUUGCCUCACCUCCACAUCCUCGUCGCUCCUCUCGUACUAUACAUGGCCUCCCUCCUUCCAGGCUCAAUGAUUAUGUCUCAUAUGCUACCACGAUUGUGUCUAUACCUACAUCCUAUAAGAAAGCUUAUUUAGAUCCUAGCUGGUUUGCAAUGAUGGACGAAGAAUCAGACGCAUUGGAUGCGAAUCAUACAUGGUCACUUGUUAAUCGACCUAAAGAUGAACCUGUACUUAGUUCUCGUCGGAUUUAUACUGCCAAGUUUAAUCCAAAUGGUUGUCUUGAUCGUUAUAAGGCUCAUAUUUUUGCUCAGGGGUGUCAACAAGAAUAUGAGAUUGAUUAUUAAGAAACAUUUGCUCUAGUUGAUAAAAUGCAAUAUGUUUGUGUCCUUUUUUCCUUGGCAGCUCAACGAAACCGGCCUUUGUUUCCGUUGGAUUAAAAAUGCUUUUCUACAUGGGUUACUCAAAGAAACUGUGUAUAUAGAAUGCCCACCCGGAUUAAAGAAAUCGCCCCCCAACACCGUGUACCUUCUUCGUCGUUAUUUGUAUUGUCUUAAGCAAGGACCUAGGGCUUGGUUUGAGACAUUUCAAUCACUUAUUUAGCAAUCCGAUUUUGUGCAAAGCAAGAACUAUCCUUCACUUUUCACCAAGACUUCGUCUCAUGAUAUUACUAUUCUUAUGUUAUAUGUGGACGACAUGAUUUUAUCUGGCAAUGAUCAAGAGGGCAUUGCGAACAUUCGACAGAUUCUAGACCAACACUUUAAGCUCAAUGAUUUGGGUAACUUAUCUUAUUUUCUUGGGUUGCAGGUGACCCGCUCAUACAAGGGUCUAUUUCUCUCGCAAUAGAAAUACAUUACAGAUCUUCUUGCAACAGCUAGUCUUUCGGACUGUCGCCCUUUUAACACUCCGAUGGAACUUAAUCUCAAGCUUAGCAAGGAUUAAGGUGACCAUGUUCCCGAUCCAACUUUGUACCGAAAGUUGGUUGGGUCCCUCAUAUAUCUCACAUCCACUCGUUCGGAUUUGGCUUAUGCACUUCAGAUUGUAAGUUAGUUUAUUGCUACUCCUUGCAUGCCUCAUCAACUAGCAUUUUAUCGGAUCCUCCGCUACCUCUAGGGAACACGUGAGGUGGGACUUUUCUUCCCGGCCACUAGCACAUCUCACAUUUUGGCUUAUGAAAAUGUCGAAUAUGUAUGGUGUAUUGAUACUCGUCGCUCUACUUCUGGGUGGUGCAUUUCCUAUGGUGAUUCCUUCAUUUUAUAACGCUGCAAAAAGCAAAAAAAAAGUGUCAAAGUCAUCCAAUAAGGCAGAAUAUCGCUAAAUGUCAGAGGUUUGUUCAGAGGUAGUUUGGUUGCUCCGUCUUCUUGCUGAUCUUGGUUUGUGGGUUCCUACUCCAGUACACUUGUUUGGGGAUAAUACCAGUGCAAUUCAUAUUACAGCUAAUCUAGUACUUCAUGAUCGUGCUAAACAUAUUGAGACCCAUGUUCACUAUAUUCAAGAUCUUGUUCAUGAAGGUGUUGUAAAGCUGUUUAUGUUACCUCUGGGGAGCAGAUAGCUAACGUAUUGACUAAAGUUGUUCCUACUAGGCGUCAUUGGUUAUUGUCAGACAAAUUGAUGUUGCGUAGUCAUCAUCAAUUUGAAGGGGGGGGGGGGGGGGGGUUUAUGGGUUUUAAAGGGUUUUUGGGGUGGGGUGCAGUUGGGGUUAGAGUUGGGCUCAUUGGGUUGUUUUGGGUUACUUCUUUAUUGGUCCAUAUUAUACCCUUCAAUUCUAAUAGCUUAUUUAAGCUAGGUUUGGUCACGGUGCUAUGUAUCUUCUCUUCUUCCUCCUCUCGGUUUUAUAAUACAAACUUAUUCUUCUCCCUUGGACUAGUCGAUCACUCUAAUCGGAAACCACAUUAAACUUUACAUCGUGUUCUUGAUUUCUCAGUUCUUAACUCAAGAACGAGACAUCUGAUUCAUCUUACCUUGACUCAUUGCAUAUGGCAUUUGGUAAAUGGGAAGGUUGAAAUACUACAUAUAUAUCCUCCUUCGUGUUUAGUACUCCUGUGUCAUGUUUACUGAGGAAUGAGAAUUGCAGACUAACGAUGAAAUACAGAAAUACGUAAUCUUCUUAAGGAGAUCCCAGAAAACCAGUUUGGAGGAUGGAGAUGGUACUGUGCUCUUCACCAAUUUUUUGGGUCCAUCAAAUGGUUAUGAAUAUUAUCUGGUUGGUCACUAUUAAACGUAAAAUUUGCUUUAGCUGCUAGUGAUUGGUUCCAUAUCUGCUACCUCAUGUCAGAAACAUGUUAAUAUACCAUUUGCUAAAUUGUUUUCAUAUUAAUGAACAUAACAACUUUAAUCCGGAACAACUAUUAACAUUUGCAAAUGUAAGUUUUACAUAAAUGGAAAUGCAUAUCCCAUACAUGAAAUGUUGACAGAAGGAAAAGUCUAGCUAAUAGGUGUUUUCAUUAAUUAAAAUGGGGAGUUAUUAGAGAGACUUUAGAAGUUAAAAUUCAAGUGUAACACAUGAGGGUAUAUUAUAAUAGCAUUACAAUGUUGAAUAUUAAAAAUAGAUUAAAGGCUUGUUGACAGUAACUUAUCAUGAAGUCAUAACAAUGAGUAGUAAUUUCGCAUUGAAAGGGGAAAAGUAACGAAUAUUUUCAAAUUACAGAUCCAGUCUUAUCCGGCGAAAUAGCUGAUUCUGGUGAAGUUGCAAGACACCGGCUUCUGAUUUUUUUUUACAAUCAGUAACAAUAUUAUUAUUAAAACAAAGAAUACAUAGAAAGGCCGAAGCCCAAAGAAAUACAAAGGACUUAAGAAAAUUUCAUUACACUUGUGAGGCCAAGUUUAAAACCCUAGCCCAAAGAACAACAACAAAAAACCUAACUCCAAACCACUAAAAAAUUGCAGUCGUCCAUCUUUUUCUCUUAAAACAGCUGCUAAUCGGAUUCAUGAAAACGCAGCCGCCGAACAAGAAGAAACAUCGGAAACCAGUGCUGUCAAAAAAAAAAAAACUUUCCUUCGAUUGAGGUUGUCUCUGUCGUUAACUCAUUGAUCAGCUUCCAAGCUCAUAUUAGAUCCACAACUCCAUAAUGUCAACACAAAGAAAAAACAUGGAGGUAGGAAAAAGAAAGAAGAAGAGAAGCAAUUGAAAAUAGCACCAUAUGCAUUCAAAAAGAUCAAGUCAGAAUUUGAGAAAAUUAAAUCUGCAACAAAAAGCUUCAAAAAAGGAGAAUAAUAUGCCCACGAAGAAAGAAAAAGCCUCAUAAAGAGAAAAAGUGAAGGAAGGACUUUAGAUUUCAAAAAUCAAAACAAAGACCCGAUAAAAUGUGAUAAAAAUCACGUAAGAAAUCAACAAUAAGAACAUCAAAGAAAAGAGAAAAAGAAAUCAUAGAAGUGCAGAGCAAGGAGCUGCCGCCGGUCACAAGAAAGUGCCGACAGCAACAAAGGAGAACACCGGUGAAGAAAGUAAGAGAGUAGGUAAAUAAAAAAAGAGAGAAAGAAAAUCCCUUUAGCAAGAGUUUACAUAAUACCGACUUCAGGUUGUUCUAAAAGAAUUUGAACUCUAUCUGAAAGUUUGAAAAAAAAAUAAGAUGGGAGAUUCAAAGUAAAAUGUAUUCGUUCGAACAAUGGUUACUUUGUCAAUUAUUUGACGAAAAUUGGAUUACUUAUUAAUGAAAGAGGAAAGAUUUUAUGAACAUGAUGUCCAGAAGCUAACGUUCUAGAGUAGGUAUUCAAGCACAAAAGGAGAAAUUGAGAAUCUAAAUUAGGUGAAAAGGUUUCCUUUUCAAGUUGGUCGUUCAAAGAAUUAGAGUUAAAUCCGUAAGAAAAAGGUGGAAAGAAUACUAGUCCAGUGAGAAGAGAGAAUUACGUCGGAUUCACGAAAUACGAGACUACGACAACGGAGAUAAAUCUCCUACAAAAGGUACUAAUGAACCCAUACGUUCGAGACGAGCUCUAAAUAACAAUGUAAAUCUAGAGAAACCCACUGAAAUUUCUACUUUAACUCUUCAUCUCUCUCUAUUUUUAAAAACCUCCACCCUUUCUUUAAUCUUCUUAGCUUGUUGCCGCUAGUUACUUUAUUGUGGCCGACGACAGCCGUUGUUCUUUUCUGGUGUGCACCACAUUUUUUCAUGGUUUGUCUUUUUUCCGGAUCUCUUUAAAUUUUUUCGGUCUUUUACUUUCAAAGAGUUGCUUUGUGUGUUUUCUCUCUUGAGGGACUUGUUUCAACCUAUAUGGUUGUUUGUUUCAAUCUUUAUAAUUGCUUUUGUUUAGAUCUAACUCUUAAAUUUUUCUCAAGUGGUGAAAAAGGAAACUGUUCUACAGUUUGUUUCUCCUCUUAUUUUUGAUCAUUUACCUUCUUUCUUUAUCCAUCGCGUUGGUGAUUCGAAGAUGUUUGGUUUCUACAUGAGGUUUGGAUGCAGGGUGUUUGAGGAUGUGGCAG